Danio aesculapii is the source of this 160-nucleotide long non-coding RNA. RefSeq lists it as uncharacterized. NCBI's taxonomy places the organism in Eukaryota, Metazoa, Chordata, Actinopteri, Cypriniformes, Danionidae. The record is from RefSeq and is a predicted model, not a curated record. The transcript is spliced from 2 exons.
GAGGCGCUGCAUGCACGGGUUAUUUUGGUUGUCCAUUCACAUGUGAGAGGUGAGGCUGGGAUCAAUGGUUGAAAAUCUGCGUGUUCUCCAUCACUCCUGCGCUCACACUCCUCGACUCCUCUUCAAAGGUCACAUAGUGUAUUUCAGCCAUGUCUGAGGG